RNAcentral lists this ribosomal RNA (913 nucleotides) under Pseudopestalotiopsis hydeae. RNAcentral describes it as "Pseudopestalotiopsis sp. HA-2018 partial 28S ribosomal RNA". It matches the Rfam family "Eukaryotic large subunit ribosomal RNA", at positions 29 to 974 of the family's 3401-position model. The record is from RNAcentral. Lineage: Eukaryota; Fungi; Ascomycota; Sordariomycetes; Amphisphaeriales; Sporocadaceae.
GGGAACUAGCAUAUCAAUAAGCGGAGGAAAAGAAACAACAGGGAUUGCCUUAGUAACGGCGAGUGAAGCGGCAACAGCUCAAAUUUGAAAUCUGGCCCUUGGGUCCGAAUUGUAAUUUGUAGAGGAUGAUUUUGGUGCGGUAUCUUCCGAGUUCCUUGGAACAGGACGCCUUAGAGGGUGAGAGCCCCGUACGGUUGAAUGCCUAGCCUCUGUAAAUCUCCUUCGACGAGUCGAGUAGUUUGGGAAUGCUGCUCUAAAUGGGAGGUAAAUUUCUUCUAAAGCUAAAUAUUGGCCAGAGACCGAUAGCGCACAAGUAGAGUGAUCGAAAGAUGAAAAGCACUUUGAAAAGAGGGUUAAAUAGCACGUGAAAUUGUUGAAAGGGAAGGAUUUGUGACCAGACUUUUUCUGGGCGGAUCAUCCGGGGUUCUCUCCGGUGCACUUUGCCCAGUAAAGGCCAGCAUCGGUUUUCGGCGGGGGAUAAAAGCAGUAGGAAUGUGGCUCUCUACGGGGAGUGUUAUAGCCUAUUGUAUAAUACCCUGCUGGGGACCGAGGUACGCGCUUCUGCAAGGAUGCUGGCGUAAUGGUUAUCAAUCACCCGUCUUGAAACACGGACCAAGGAGUCGAACAUUUGUGCGAGUGUUUGGGUGUUAAACCCUCACGCGUAAUGAAAGUGAACGGAGGUGAGAGCCCUUACGGGUGCAUCAUCGACCGAUCCUGAAGUUUUCGGAUGGAUUUGAGUAAGAGCAUAACUGUUCGGACCCGAAAGAUGGUGAACUAUGCGUGGAUAGGGUGAAGCCAGAGGAAACUCUGGUGGAGGCUCGCAGCGGUUCUGACGUGCAAAUCGAUCGUCAAAUCUGCGCAUGGGGGCGAAAGACUAAUCGAACCAUCUAGUAGCUGGUUACGCGAUUCCCUC